RNAcentral lists this long non-coding RNA (1486 nucleotides) under Calidris pugnax (ruff). RNAcentral describes it as "lncRNA (ENSCPUG00000016809.1)". The record is from RNAcentral. Lineage: Eukaryota; Metazoa; Chordata; Aves; Charadriiformes; Scolopacidae.
AUGUGCCCACCAUUACUCCUUGCCAGGUGCAGAAUCCACAAUUUGGUCUUCUUCCGUUUCAUGCCAUUAAUCGGAGCCAGCGCUCUAAUCCACCCAGAUCCCACUGCAAGGCCUCUUCUUCCCCACGUCAACAGCACCUCCCAGACAACCUCUCAGAAGCAAACUUACUCACGCUGCAUUCAACUCCUGCAUCCAGAGCACAGAGAAAAGCCUGGAAAAGAACCCCGAACUACAAACGAACAAACCUCCAGGCUCACGAGGUUUGCGGUUUUUUCCCGAUUCUCGCUUCACGGCCCUGUGGGAGGCCUUAGAGCGUGGCUGCCUCCUGCUUCUUCGUUUCCUUCUAGGGAGGAACCAGGACACCCCCCUGGCCAGUCUCUUCCGGAGCUGGGCCAGCCUGGGGAGCAGGCCAGAGGCAGGGCACUGAGGCCGGUGGUCGGGCUGCCCACCCCGUGGGGUGUGGGGUGUCCUGGAGGAGCCCCCUGAGCACAUCCCCUUGGCUGGAGCUGCUGGGUCUUGAGCUUCCAAUGGGAACUGUCCCAGUGGGUACGUUUGAGGGGCAGCCCCAGCGCCGAGUGGGGAUUGAGCCGCCGGGAAGGGCUCUUGAUGUAGUGGGGUGGUGUGGCAUGGGGGCUCUGGGGCUACACAGAGACCUUCCUGGCCGUAUCCAACGUGCCCCAAUCCCAGCUGUGGUGCGCAGGAUGGGCUUUCCCAGUUGCACCGGCACUUGUCCAGGCGGGUUUUGAAUGUUUCUAGAGAUGGAGACUCCACCACCUCUCUUGGCAACCUAUGCCAGGGCUGGCUCUGCUGCCCUCAAAGAAAGAAGUUCCUCCUCAUGUUUAGAUGGCCCCUCCCAAGCUACCCUGCACCAACAGGAGAACCUCUCCAGCCCCCUCGGGCCCCAGCCCCCACCAAAAUGGCCCCCGUGCCCCAGCAGCCCCCUGUUCCAUCCCUCCGGUGAGGACUGAAGCCAGGCACAGCAGGGGUAGGCCUUGGGGCGGUGACAGAACCCCCACCAACAUCUCUGGGGAUAAGCACUUUUUCUAGAAAUAAUGGGACAGAGCCGUCACACAAGUGUCCUGGUGGUACCAACAGCAACCCCGUGAGGCACCAGCGCUGGCCAAGGUCCAUGCCCGGGCCCACCCACGGAUGGCCGUGGUGUCAGGCACUGGGAACCAGGCCUGGGGCUCUGCCGACCUGUGGCUGGGCCCCAAGGGGCUUGAGGACACUGUGGCCAUGGACAGCAACUGACAGUGACACCAAUCUGAGCAGCACUUGGUGCAGGAGGCUGUGAUGGGAGCCCGACAGACUGGCAAGGGUCCGUGGGGUGAGGGAUCAUCUGGCCCUGGACCUCCUCAAAUGGGCAUCUCCAGGCACACAAGCCUGACAAGCAAAUGUACUGGAGGCAAAAGAAAGGCCUUCAGUGACUACUGGGCACUGGAUGGGCCCUAAUGGGUGGGCCAUCACCAGCUGGGGGUGAUGCAAA